GGGAGGGGGGGGGUGCCUACCAUGCAAGUCGAACGGGGUAUAUAAGCGGAAGUUUACGGAUGGAAGGUUAUAUACUUAGUGGCGGACGGGUGAGUAACGCGUGGGCAACCUGCCCCGUGCCGGGGGAUACCGCCUGGAAACAGGCGCUAAUACCGCAUAAGCGCAUACAGCCGCAUGGGUGUAUGCGGAAAGCUCCGGCGGCACGGGAUGGGCCCGCGCCCGAUUAGCCAGUUGGCGGGGUAACGGCCCACCAAAGCGACGAUCGGUAGCCGGCCUGAGAGGGCGGACGGCCACAUUGGGACUGAGACACGGCCCAAACUCCUACGGGAGGCAGCAGUGGGGAAUAUUGCACAAUGGGGGAAACCCUGAUGCAGCAACGCCGCGUGGGUGAAGGAGCGUUUCGGCGCGUAAAGCCCUGUCAGCGGGGAAGAAGAAAGACGGUACCCGACCAAGAAGCCCCGGCUAACUACGUGCCAGCAGCCGCGGUAAUACGUAGGGGGCGAGCGUUAUCCGGAAUUACUGGGUGUAAAGGGAGCGUAGACGGCGAGGUAAGCCUGAAGUGGAAGCCCGCGGCCCAACCGCGGAACUGCUUUGGGAACUGUUUUGCUGGAGUAUGGGAGGGGUAAGCGGAAUUCCUGGUGUAGCGGUGAAAUGCGUAGAUAUCAGGAGGAACACCGGUGGCGAAGGCGGCUUACUGGACCAUAACUGACGUUGAGGCUCGAAAGCGUGGGGAGCGAACAGGAUUAGAUA
This 750-nucleotide ribosomal RNA is filed under the name uncultured bacterium. RNAcentral's name for it is "bacterial SSU rRNA". It matches the Rfam family "Bacterial small subunit ribosomal RNA", at positions 30 to 784 of the family's 1533-position model. The record is from RNAcentral.